GACGAACGCUGGCGGCGUGCUUAACACAUGCAAGUCGAGCGGUAAGGCCCUUUCGGGGGUACACGAGCGGCGAACGGGUGAGUAACACGUGGGUGACCUGCCCUCAGCUCUGGGAUAAGCCUGGGAAACCGGGUCUAAUACUGGAUAUGACUCCAUGACGCAUGUUGUGGGGUGGAAAGCCUUGUGCGGCUGAGGAUGGGCCCGCGGCCUAUCAGCUUGUUGGUGGGGUGANGGCCUACCAAGGCGACGACGGGUAGCCGGCCUGAGAGGGCGACCGGCCACACUGGGACUGAGACACGGCCCAGACUCCUACGGGAGGCAGCCAGGUGGGGGAAUCUCGCGCAAUGGGGCGAAAGCCUGACGCAGCGACGCCGCGUGAGGG
Molecule: ribosomal RNA, 382 nt
Filed under: uncultured bacterium
Lineage: Bacteria
Description: bacterial SSU rRNA
Rfam family: Bacterial small subunit ribosomal RNA
Source: RNAcentral